RNAcentral lists this transfer RNA (110 nucleotides) under Pedobacter agri. Its description in RNAcentral is "tRNA-Asp". Lineage: Bacteria; Pseudomonadati; Bacteroidota; Sphingobacteriia; Sphingobacteriales; Sphingobacteriaceae. The record is from RNAcentral.
UGUAGGGUGGUGAAACAGGCAGACACACCUCCUUGUCUCGGUGGCGGAGAAUAAUGGGAAAACCAGCAAUGGCUAACCACUCCUUGAAGGUUCGAUUCCUUCCCCUACAG